RNAcentral lists this ribosomal RNA (506 nucleotides) under uncultured bacterium. RNAcentral describes it as "partial 16S ribosomal RNA". It matches the Rfam family "Bacterial small subunit ribosomal RNA", at positions 29 to 523 of the family's 1533-position model. The record is from RNAcentral.
AGUGAACGCUGGCGGUAGGCCUAACACAUGCAAGUCGAACGGCAGCACAGGAGAGCUUGCUCUCUGGGUGGCGAGUGGCGGACGGGUGAGGAAUACAUCGGAAUCUACUCUGUCGUGGGGGAUAACGUAGGGAAACUUACGCUAAUACCGCAUACGACCUACGGGUGAAAGCAGGGGAUCUUCGGACCUUGCGCGAUUGAAUGAGCCGAUGUCGGAUUAGCUAGUUGGCGGGGUAAAGGCCCACCAAGGCGACGAUCCGUAGCUGGUCUGAGAGGAUGGUCAGCCACACUGGAACUGAGACACGGUCCAGACACCGACGGGAGGCAGCAGUGGGGAAUAUUGGACAAUGGGCGCAAGCCUGAUCCAGCCAUACCGCGUGGGUGAAGAAGGCCUUCGGGUUGUAAGGCCCUUUUGUUGGGAAAGAAAUCCAGCUGGCUAAUACCCGGUUGGGAUGACGGUACCCAAAGAAUAAGCACCGGCUAACUUCGUGCCAGCAGCCGCAGUAA